GCGAAAACUUUACAAUGCUGGCAACAGCGAUAAGGGAACCUCGAGUGCCAGGUUACAAAUCUGGCUGUCGAGAUGCCUAAAAAGCAUUUCAUAGCAAGGGCCGGGCAAGACCGGUGCCAGCCGCCGCGGUAACACCGGCGGCUCGAGUGGUAACCGUUAUUAUUGGGUCUAAAGGGUCUGUAGCCGGCCGGAUAAGUCUCUUGAGAAAUCUGGCAGCUUAACUGUCAGGCUUUCAGGAGAUACUGUCUGGCUCGAGGCCGGGAGAGGUGAGAGGUACUUCAGGGGUAGGGGUGAAAUCUUGUAAUCCUGGAAGGACCACCAGUGGCGAAGGCGUCUCUCCAGAACGGAGCUGACGGCAAGGGACGAAAGCUAGGGGCACGAACC
RNAcentral lists this ribosomal RNA (384 nucleotides) under uncultured prokaryote. Its description in RNAcentral is "bacterial SSU rRNA". It matches the Rfam family "Archaeal small subunit ribosomal RNA", at positions 341 to 725 of the family's 1478-position model. The record is from RNAcentral.